This 392-nucleotide RNase P RNA is filed under the name Candidatus Omnitrophota bacterium. Its description in RNAcentral is "RNase P RNA component class A". It matches the Rfam family "Bacterial RNase P class A". From Rfam's summary of the family: Ribonuclease P (RNase P) is a ubiquitous endoribonuclease, found in archaea, bacteria and eukarya as well as chloroplasts and mitochondria. Its best characterised activity is the generation of mature 5'-ends of tRNAs by cleaving the 5'-leader elements of precursor-tRNAs. The record is from RNAcentral. Lineage: Bacteria; Pseudomonadati; Candidatus Omnitrophota.
GCAGGCAGAAUGUGGCUGGGCUUGACAUUUAUAAUGUCAAGUCAGGAAAGUCCGGGCUCCAGAGGAUAACGUAAUGGGUAAUACCCAUCUCUCGACGUAAGUCGGGACGGAUUUCCGCCACAAUGCGUGGCGGACCCGCAAAUAUUUUUGGCGGGAGAGCCACAGAGACGAGACCCGCUUUUUGCGGGGGGUGAAACGCGGCAAUCUCUACGCGGAGCAAGGUGCAAAAGGGGAUGAGUUCCGCAAAACGGAACGCGCGCUUAUCCGGCGCGCUGUUAAUCCUGGGUAAGCUGCUAAAGUCCUGGGAGUGAUUCCGGGAUUGAGAGGAAUAGCCACUAAUCGAUGCGUAAAAUUCGCGUCAAGACAGAACCCGGCUUAUUCUGCCUGCUUAU